This 72-nucleotide transfer RNA is filed under the name Heterocephalus glaber (naked mole-rat). It matches the Rfam family "tRNA". Rfam says of the family: Transfer RNA (tRNA) molecules are approximately 80 nucleotides in length. Lineage: Eukaryota; Metazoa; Chordata; Mammalia; Rodentia; Bathyergidae. The record is from Rfam by way of RNAcentral.
GGGGAUGUAGCUCAGUGGCGCAGCACCUGCCUGGCAAGCACGAGGCCCUGAGUUUGAUUCUCAGUACCUCUC